AGAGUUUGAUCAUGGCUCAGAUUGAACGCUGGCGGCAUGCUUUACACAUGCAAGUCGAACGGUAACAGGAAGAAAGCUUGCUUUCUUUGCUGACGAGUGGCGAACGGGUGAGUAACACAUCGGAACGUACCGUUAGGUGGGGGAUAACUGCUCGAAAGAGCAGCUAAUACCGCAUAUAACUAAGGUUGAAAGCAGGGGAUCUUCGGACCUUGCGCCAAACGAGCGGCCGAUGGAAGAUUAGCUAGUUGGUGAGGUAAAGGCUCACCAAGGCGACGAUCUUUAGCGGGUCUGAGAGGACGAUCCGCCACACUGGAACUGAGACACGGUCCAGACUCCUACGGGAGGCAGCAGUGGGGAAUUUUGGACAAUGGGGGCAACCCUGAUCCAGCAAUGCCGCGUGAGUGAAGAAGGCCUUCGGGUUGUAAAGCUCUUUUGUUAGGGAAGAAAUCCUUAAGGCUAAUACCCUUGGGGGAUGACGGUACCUAAAGAAUAAGCACCGGCUAACUACGUGCCAGCAGCCGCGGUAAUACGUAGGGUGCAAGCGUUAAUCGGAAUUACUGGGCGUAAAGCGUGCGCAGGCGGUCUGAUAAGACAGUCGUGAAAUCCCCGAGCUUAACUUGGGAACUGCGAUUGUAACUGUCAGACUAGAGUGUGUCAGAGGGAGGUAGAAUUCCACGUGUAGCAGUGAAAUGCGUAGAGAUGUGGAGGAAUACCGGUGGCGAAGGCGGCCUCCUGGGAUAACACUGACGCUCAUGUACGAAAGCGUGGGGAGCAAACAGGAUUAGAUACCCUGGUAGUCCACGCCCUAAACGAUGUCUACUGGUUGUUGGGGAUUCAUUUCCUUAGUAACGAAGCUAACGCGUGAAGUA
This 869-nucleotide ribosomal RNA is filed under the name uncultured beta proteobacterium. Its description in RNAcentral is "bacterial SSU rRNA". It matches the Rfam family "Bacterial small subunit ribosomal RNA", at positions 8 to 866 of the family's 1533-position model. Lineage: Bacteria; Pseudomonadati; Pseudomonadota; Betaproteobacteria. The record is from RNAcentral.